AUAAAAGGGAUAUAUGAGGAGUAGGGAGGCUGUCCACGUCAGACAAUAAAAUCGACCAAUAAGGAGAUUCGUUUUUGACACGUCAUCUCGGCUGUGGGUUGUUGGGCUUCGAUUUUUUUUUAAAGAUAGAAUGUUAGUGUUGCUGGCCCAGUAAGCCCAUCUCCGUUGCUCCUCGCCUUCUUCGUUUCGCCUUUCGCGAUUUGAGAGUAGAUAGAUUCGACGUUUUCCUUUUUCAUUUCUCCAAACCCUAAUUUUCUAGAUCUAUUCGUGUUGAGAGAGAUGGCAUCCGUGGGGAUCAAGAAGGAUGUGGUGACUUACAACGCGCUUCUCGGAGGUUACGGGAAGCAGAGAAACUACUUCGAAGUGAAAAACGUUUUCGCCGAGAUGAAACGGGAGCGCGUGACGCCGAAUCUGCUGACUUACUCCAUGUUGAUCGAUGUCUACUCGAAAGGAGGGUUGUACAAGGAGACGAUGGAGAUAUUUAAGGAGUUCAAGGGCGCGGGGUUGAGAGCUGAUGUUGUUUUGUACAGUGCGUUGAUCGAUGCGUUGUGCAAGAAUGUGUUGGUGGGUUCUGCUGUUUCUUUGAUCGAUGAGAUGACUAAGGAAGGGAUUAGUCCUAACGUUGUGACUUAUUAUUCUAUAAUUGAUGCUUUUGGUCGCUCUGCGACGGUGGAGUACUUUGCUGAGUCUGGAGAGGGUGGAGGUGGAUCGUCCUCUUUGCUACCUUCUUCUUCUCUAAGUAAAUUGGCUGAAACAGAGGAUAAUCAGGUGAUGCAGAUAUUUGGGAAGUUAGCGAUAGAGAGUAGUAACAGGGGGAGAAGGAUUGUAAGGAGGGUAUGCAUGAGCUCUCCUCUGUAUUGGAAGUUAUCUGCACGAUGCAUCAGCUGGAAAUUAAACCAAAUGUUGUUACCUUCUCCGCCAUUCUGAAUGCUUGCAGUCGGUGCAACUCAUUUGCAGAUGCAUCGGUGCUGCUAGAGAAGCUCAGGCUGUUUGAUAGUCAGGUGUAUGGUGUUGUUCAUGUACAAGGGACAAAGAGAGAAUGUGUGGCUCCAGGCUCAGAGUAUUCGACAAAGUGAACGAAAUGGAUGGUUCCACAGCUGCUGCUUUUUACAAUGCUCUUACGGACAUGCUCUGGCACUUUGGUCAGAAAUGAGGAGCGCAACUGGUGGCGCUUGAAGGAAGAUCUAGACAAGUUUGGGAGAACGUGUGGUCUGAGUCUUGCUUGGACUUGCACCUUAUGUCUUCUGGUGAUGCACGUGAAAUGGUCCAUGCUUGGUUGCUUAACAUACGCUCCAUUGUCUAUGAAGGUCAUGAGUUACCUAAACUUUUGAGGUAGUUUUGAUACCAAAGCAUAUCACUAUUGUCAUGGAAUAUGCUGUUGGAGGUGGACUAUUUGACCGUAUAUGCAGCGCUGGAAGAUUCAAAGAGGAUGAAGUGAGCUAGGCAUUUAGAGAUGAGACUUUAUAUAUGGUCUAUGUCUAUCAAUAAUUUCAGAGCUGAGUUAUAUGUUGGCCAUGUUCGUCAGACAAAAGCUGCGGCAGCAAUGGCGAUCAAAAUACAACGUCAAAAUGAAGAAAUUUGGCCUAGGUAAAGUCGCAGCGAUCACUUAUUGUUCAGAUGAACACACAGUGUGAAUCGUUACAUAAAACAGCGGCACUCUCCGGAAUGAAUUUGUGUCGUCAGCGACCAUUUCUCUCUCAUCACUGUGAUCUUUUUUCAUUAAUUGUUCUGUUGUUUAUGUGCUUUUCUAACCGGCAGUCGCUGCCGCGACCUUUGUCCGACGAACAGGGCCGUUGUCUAAUGUAGUGUCAUCGGAAAGAAAUGGGAAUAUACUUCUUUUUUAAAAACAUGAAAAGGGAAUAUACAUUAAGGAGUUUACUUGAUAUAGAAAAGUUAAAAAAAAAAAUAAAAAGAAAAAGAAACCGAUCAUCAAUUAUGAUUGCUGUGUAAUGUGUUGUUAAUAUAAACUGCAUUGUUUCGUCUAACUGUGCUGAUUCUGUUUACGAUUCUGUCAUGUGUAAAAUAACAACUUUUAUAUAUUUAUCCUCGGCUUCCAAUUACGCGAAAGGGAAUGGUUUAAUUUGUCCAUUAACAAAAUAAAAAGAACCUUUUAAUUUAAUUGAGCAGAGUUGAAGAAGCAUUGUCAUUGCUUGACAAUCCAAAAGAGUCACUGUGAGAAGUUUGAUCUGUCAUGAAAGAGAAGACUUAAGUACAUGGAGAGGUAAAACGGGUUACAAACCAAAUUUUUCAACUUGUGAGACUUGGGAUAAAUUACGAGAGGUAAAUGAGAAUCAGAUGUGGGCUAAAGGGGUCUGGUUCUCUAUGGCGACUCCGAAAUUUGCAUUCAUAGUCUGGUUGGCUAUGAAGAAUAGAUUAUCUACUAUGGAUAGAAUCGCAAAAUGGAGCCAAGGAGUAGACACAGAGUGUGUGCUCUGUCAUGCUGAAGCAGAAACCCGAGAUCAUUUAUUUUUCAAAUGUUCCUACUCUGGCCAGUUAUGGAGGUACCUAGUUGGUGGGAUUCUUGGCAGUUCUUAUACGGAUGUUUGGAUUGAGAUAGUGCAGAAGAUGUCAGGUAGUACGCUGGAUAAGAAGAGCUUAUUUUGUUUGAGGUAUGCAUUUCAGGCUGCUACUUAUGCAAUUUGGCGAGAGAGAAACAGAGUGAAGCAUGGGGAGAGGCUAAUGCAUCUGGAUCUUCUAAAAAAGAUCACUGAAAAAGGAAUCAGAAACAAGCUUAGUUUGAUUAGAAGGAAGGGUGGGAGAGGUAUGGAGAAUGCUCUCCAAUAUUGGUUCCAAACAAGAGGAGUGUAGUUAAAAUGCAUAUUUGCUUGUUUUGAUUUUGUGGUUUGAAGUUUGAGGGUUAAGUAUAAUACUAGGACCACACAAGUUGUAAGAAGGCUUUUUUGAAUAAAUUUAAAAUUCAUUCAAAAAAAAAAAAAAAAAAAAAAAAA
Long non-coding RNA from Brassica rapa (field mustard), 2948 nucleotides. RefSeq lists it as uncharacterized. Lineage: Eukaryota; Viridiplantae; Streptophyta; Magnoliopsida; Brassicales; Brassicaceae. The record is from RefSeq and is a predicted model, not a curated record.